UCUCUUAGAGUAAAAUUCUCUAGAAAAUAUCAAUAAAUAAAAUGAAUUAUACAAAAUAUAUUAAAAGUAAACUUCAAAUUGCCCCCAAGUGAUUUAGUUUAUUUUUAUUUUGCCAUCUUAUUGUUAAACAUUUCAAGUUUGCUCUUCUGUUGUUUAAUCUUUAGUUUAUCAAAAAAAUAUAUAUGAAAUAGGGUGGGGAAGUAAAAUUUUUUAAAAGGGUUAAUUUUAUACAAGUCUCCGCAAAUGUAGUGAAUAGCAAAUAUAUCCCUAUAAAUUUCAACUUUCAUAUAUUAUCCCUACAAAAGUCAUAAUAUUUUCAAAUACAUCCCUAUGGUUUGUUACUGUUAGAGAACUGUUUAUUUUUUUUAAUUUGGUCAUUACAAAUAUAUCCAUCCAAAAGCUAUAACAAUGUAAUAUAAGAGGGAUAAAAAUGUAAACAACUAACCAUAAUUAAAUAUUUAAUCUAUGAUUAACUAUAUUUUUCUAAUAAAUUCUAACGGUAGAGAUAUAUUUGAAAACUUCAUGACUUUUACAAGAACAAUAUAUGAAAGUUGAACUUUGUAAAAAUGUAUUUAUCAUUCACUAUGCUUGUAGGGACAUAUAUGAAGUGAACCCUUUUUAAAAGUAGACAUGAUGGUAAAGUGAAAAUUACUCUAAAUCAGAGGGAGGCAAAAUGUAACUUUCAGAAACAUAGGGUAGUAAAGUAAAAAUGAGCUAAACCACGGGGGGUGCAAAGAGAAACAUUUUGAACCACGGCCGUAGCAAAGAAAAAAUGAGCUAAACCACAGGGGGGGCCAAUUUGAAGUUUGUCCUAAAAAAAAAGGGUGCAAAUAUCUCUAGCAUUUUUUGUAAACAAACUUCGAAACUUUUAAUUUUAAUGAUUAGAUUUUUUUUUUUUUGAGAAAAAAUUCAAAAUUUUUUUUAAUGAUUAGAUAUUCUAAUUUUAUCGAAUAAUUUACUAGGCCCUCUCUUUGAACAGAAUUAUGAAGGCCCUCUCUUUGAACAAAAUUAUGACUUGGAACAGCUGUUUUAGUCUCAUGAUUUGUAAAUGAUUUUGUAUAACUUCAGAGAACAAAAAAAAUAUGUUUUUCUAUCUAGUUUCAUAGUUAAAUGCUAGGAUUGAAGAACAGUAGGUUGGCGUAUCUUCAAUUGCUUCUUUGUGUUAGAAUAAAAAUAUAUUUCNAUUACCGCCCUUAGCUUUUAAUCCCUCUCUCUCUCUCUCUCUCUCUCUCUCUCUUUGUUAGAGUAAAAUUCUCUAGAAAAUAUCAAUAAAUAAAAUGAAUUAUACAAAAUAUAUUAAAAGUAAACUUCAAAUUGCCCCCAAGUGAUUUAGUUUAUUUUUAUUUUGCCAUCCUAUUGUUAAACAUUUCAAGUUUGCUAUUCUGUUGUUUAAUCUUUAGUUUAUCAAAAAAAUCUAUAUGAAAUAGGGUGGGGAAGCAAAAAUUUUUAAAAGGGUUACUUUUUUAUACAAGUCUCCGCAAAUAUAGUGAAUAACAAAUAUAUUCCUACAAAUUUCAACUUUCAUAUAUUGUCCCUACAAAAGUCAUAAUGUUUUCAAAUAUAUCCCUAUGGUUUGUUACUGUUAGAGAACUGUUUAUUUUUUUAAUUUGGUCAUCACAAAUAUAUCCCUCCAAAAGCUAUAACAAUGUAAUAUAAGAGGGAUACAAAUGUAAACAACUAACCAGAAUUAAAUAUUUAAUCUAUGAUUAACUAUAUUUUUCUAAUGAAUUCUAACGGCAGAGAUAUAUUUGAAAAUUUCAGGACUUUUACAGAAACAAUAUAUGAAAGUUGAACUUUGUAAGAAUGUAUUUAUCAUUCACUAUGCUUGUAGGGACAUAUGAAAUGAACCCUUUUUAAAAGUAGACAUGAUGGUAAAGUGAAAAUUGCUCUAAAUCAGAGGGAGGCAAAAUGUAACUUUCAGAAACAUAGGGUAGUAAAGUAAAAAUGAGCUAAACCACAGGGGGUGCAAAGAGAAACAUUUUGAACCACGGCUGUAGCAAAGAAAAAAUGAGCUAAACCGCGGGGGGGCCAAUUUGAAGUUUGUCCUAAAAAAAAAAGGUGCAAAUAUCUCUUAACGUUAGCAUUUUUUGUAAACAGACUUCGAAACUUUUAAUUUUAAUGAUUAGAUUUUUUUUUUUUUGAGAAAAAAUUCUAAUUUUUUUUUAAUGAUUAGAUAUUCUAAUUUUAUCGAAUAAUUUACUAGGCCCUCUCUUUGAACAAAAUUAUGACUUGGAACAGCUGUUUUAGUCUCAUGAUUUGUAAAUGAUUUUGUAUAACUUCAGAGAACAAAAAAAAUAUGUUUUUCUAUCUAGUAUCAUAGUUAAAUGCUAGGAUUGAAGAACAGUAGGUUGGCAUAUCUUCAAUUGCUUCUUUGUGUUAGAAUAAAAAUAUAUUUCUUUAUAUCCUAAAACUUAACACGAUUACAUACAAUAUAAGUGAUCAAAAUGGCUGUGUAAUUAUCAAAAUUUUGAAAGUUUAUUUGUUAAAAUUAAAAGACAAGAUCAAAACGGCUGUGUUUAUUUCUUUUUACAAAGGGUUAAUUACACCGGUUGUCUCCAACCUUUCCACCAAUUUUUCCUUGAGUCUCCAACCUUUUUUUUUGCAAUUGACUCCCUAAUCUCUCGAUUUUAUUACAAUUAGGUCCCAACCGUUAAAAAAAUUGUUAAAAUUAACGAAAUCGCCACAUCAGCGUCUAUGUGGCAACCUUUUGCAUGUCAAUUAGGUCCCUAAACUUUGCACAUUUUUCAUUUUAGUCCUAAAAAAAAUUCAAAAUUUUAAAUUUAAAUUCAAAAAUAAUAUUAAAAUUAAAAUGUAAAACUAACGAGAAAUUAGUAUUUUGAAUUUGAAUUUAAAACUGAAUUAAAAUUUUGAAUUGAAAUUCAAAUUUUAAAUUUAAAUUUUAAAUUGAAUCUAAAUUUUGAAUUCAAACUUAAAUUUUGAUUUUGAUUUUGAUAUUUCAAUUUACAUUUAAAAUGAAAGUUUUGAAACCGAAAUUUAAAUUUAAAAUAUGAAUUUAAAUUUAAAAUCAUAUUCAAAAUUUUGAUUUUAAAUUUUAAAUUUGAAUUUAAAAUUAAAAUUUGAAUUUAAUAUUUGAUUUCAAUUCUAAAUUUGAAUUUAAACUUCGAAUCAAAUUCACAUUUUGAAUUUGAAAUUUCAAAUUGAAGUUUGAAAUUAAAUUAGAAUUUAGAAUUCCAAAUGUGAAUUUGAAUUUAAAAUUUAAAAUUUAAAAUUAAAUACAAAAUUGGAAUUUGAAUUCCAAUUUAAAUUUGAAUUCAAAAUCAAAAUUUAAAUUUUAAAAUUUAAAUCUUAAAUUAAAUUUUUUUUUGAAUUUAUAAAUUUAAAGGGUUAAUUACACCAUUGGUCCUCUACCUUUGCACCAUUUUUCAAUUUGGUCCACAACCUUUUUUUUUUUUGCAAUCCGCUGACACAGCGCCACCGUGGCGCUGACAUGGCGCCUCCGUGGCGCUGACGUGGCAUUUUCCGUUAAUUUUAACAGCUAUCUAACAGCUGGGACUUAAUUGAAAUGACAUCAAAAGAUUAGGGACUUCAUUGCAAAAUAAAAAAGAUUGGAGACUAAGUUGAAAAAUAGUGUAAAGGUUAGGGACCAUUGGUGUAAUUAACCUUUUUACAAAUAAACUUAGCUAGAAAUGUGAAUCAAUUAGGAUUUGAACUUGCAAUGUGAGACCUCAGGUAGUCCUAUAUAUAAGAUGUAAUAGGGCUAAAUUCUGAACGUGGCUUAAGUAUUUUGGGUGGUGGCAAGACCUAAGAGGUUAAGAGAGUUAAGCGUCCUAGGAUAGGAGUAGUCCUAGGAUGGGUGACCCCGUGGGAAGUUGGGGCGUCACAGUUGGUAUCAAAGCCAAUUACCGGCCGGAAGUGUGUGAGAUGAGUCUCGGCUGAGCCAGAAUUGUAGAGCGGGAAGAGCGAGGCUCUCAUGCUGUUGACUAUUAUCGGUAGAGCGUUGCUCCCCCACAAGGUCGGUUUAGGCUAGCGAGACAAGUCUCAUAUUGCCUGAUACUUGUAAGUCUAAGCCUGACGGGGACGUCAAGGCUUAAAGGGGGGAAGAUUGUGAGACUCCACGUAAUCCUAUAUAUAAGAUAUAAUAAGGCUAAACUCUUAACCCGACUUAAGUAUUUUGGGUGGUGGCAAAGCAUAAGAGGUUAAGAGAGUUAAGCGUCUUAAGACGAGAGUAGUCCUAGGAUGAGUGACCCCCGGGAAGUUGGGGCGUCACAUGCGACCUCGGGUUCCAACCACGAAGUCCUUUAUCACUUAUGUUAGGAACGGUUUGGUCUGCCAAGAAAAUUAAUUAUGUAGUUUGUUGGGAAGAUGUAAAAAUAUUUAAAAACAUCAAGUUGAAGAAUAUUACUUUCGGUUCUUACCCGAUUCUAUUUAUUGAGAUGCCUAAGACACAUGCGGACAUACUUAGGGCUUGUUUCUUUCACAAAAUUAGACUACGAAAUCAAAAUAAGAUUAUUAAUUUUGAUACUUGUUGUUUAUUCUACAAGAAUCUGAUUUCGAUUUUCAUGCUACUAUGGAAUGAAAAUGGUCCAUUUCAUUUAUGGCUCAAUCCGAUUUUGAAUUCCGGAUUAACUCAUUACAAUGUAAACCACUCAAAACUCUCCCAUAAAUACCAUUGUUUCCUUUUUUUUCAUCACACUGUUUUUAAACCAAAACUUUCUAGCAAAAUUAUAGAGGUUCAUUCUAAUUUUCAUUUCAAUAAUAAACCAAAUAUUUUUGAAUGAUUCAUCAUUUUGUUUUUUAUUUCAAUACAAUUCAGUUCUAUUUUUCACUCAUAUUCUAUACCCUUUAGUGGUGUUCUACCUGACUUAUUGAGAUAUGUUGGCAGCAUGUAGAUACAUUUGCACAACUUCACGAAAUUAUUUAAUUUAUUAUGUCACUUGAUACUCUAAAACAUUACUAAAAAUGAUUUUAUGAGCAAUGUUACUUAUACAUCCCUUUUUGAGUGUAAAUCUUAUAUUCUUCAAUCUAAGAAAUGUAAAUGCGUUCGUAUCUUGUCAAAUUUUUUAAAAUAAAAUAAUACAAUUUCAAAAGGUAUGCGAACCCUAGGAUGGGAGUCUGAGAUGAGCAAAUCUUUUUUGGGAGGUUAUACAUACAACAUUUUCCUACCAGAAGAGCAAUAACAAUGCAAUUAAAAAGAGCAAUACUAGCCACACGCACCAUACUUUGNAAAGUAGACAUGAUGGUAAAGUGAAAAUUGCUCUAAAUCAGAGGGAGGCAAAAUGUAACUUUCAGAAACAUAGGGUAGUAAAGUAAAAAUGAGCUAAACCACGGGGGUGCAAAGAGAAACAUUUUGAACCACGGCCGUAGCAAAGAAAAAAUGAGCUAAACCACAGGGGGGGCCAAUUUGAAGUUUGUCCUAAAAAAAAAGGUGCAAAUAUCUCUUAACGUUAGCAUUUUUUGUAAACAGACUUCGAAACUUUUAAUUUUAAUGAUUAGAUUUUUCUUUUUUUGAGAAAAAAUUCUAAUUUUUUUUAAUGAUUAGAUAUUCUAAUUUUAUCGAAUAAUUUACUAGGCCCUCUCUUUGAACAAAAUUAUGACUUGGAACAGCUGUUUUAGUCUCAUGUUUUGUAAAUGAUUUUGUAUAACUUCAGAGAACAAAAAAAAUAUGUUUUUCUAUCUAGUUUCAUAGUUAAAUGCUAGGAUUGAAGAACAGUAGGUUGGCGUAUCUUCAAUUGCUUCUUUGUGUUAGAAUAAAAAUAUAUUUCUUUAUAUCCUAAAACUUAACACGAUUACAUACAAUAUAAGUGAUCAAAAUGGCUGUGUAAUUAUCAAAAUUUUGAAAGUUUAUUUGUUAAAAGACAAGAUCAAAACGGCUGUGUUUAUUUCUUUUUUCAAAGGGUUAAUUACACCGGUAGUCUCCAACCUUUCCACCAAUUUUCCCUUGAGUUCCCAACUUUUUUUUUUUUGCAAUUGACUCUCUAAUUUCUUGAUUUUAUUACAAUUAGGUUCCAACCGUUAAAAAAACUGUUAAAAUUAACGAAAUCGCCACGUCAGCGUCUAUGUGGCAACAUUUUGCAUGUUAAUUAGGUUCAUAAACUUUGCACAUUUUUCAUUUUAGUCCUAAAAAAAAAUUCAAAAUUUUAAAUUUAAAUUCAAAAAUAAUAUUAAAAUUAAAAUGUUAAACUAACGAGAAAUUAGAAUUUUGAAUUUGAAUUUAAAGCUGAAUUAAAAUUUUGAAUUGAAAUUCAAAUUUUAAAUUUAAAUUUUUAAUUGAAUCUAAAUUUUGAAUUCAAACUUAAA
This 6258-nucleotide long non-coding RNA is filed under the name Ananas comosus (pineapple). Its description in RNAcentral is "long non-coding RNA (ACOM_LNC035789)". Lineage: Eukaryota; Viridiplantae; Streptophyta; Magnoliopsida; Poales; Bromeliaceae. The record is from RNAcentral.